This 670-nucleotide long non-coding RNA is filed under the name Trifolium pratense (red clover). Its description in RNAcentral is "long non-coding RNA (TPRA_LNC001181)". The record is from RNAcentral. Lineage: Eukaryota; Viridiplantae; Streptophyta; Magnoliopsida; Fabales; Fabaceae.
AUUUGGUACGAAAAUUGACCAAGAGGAGUUGAAAAUCAACACAAGUGACAUUCAAAGGGAAGUUAAUGGCGUGGGGACUGUUUGGAAUCCUCAUCAAGGGCUGAGUUUAAUUACUUGGCUAUUUUAAGCAUUUUCAUCAAUUAAGACAAAUAAAAUUCAGCCAUUUAAAGCCUUUCCAAGAUGGUUACAAAAGAAGCAUAAAUGGGACAUUCAAGUCCUUAAAUAGGCGUGUGACUAAUCAUGGAAAAGGAGUAUCAUGAGCUGAUUACAUUAAGUCAUUUUAUUCCUAGUUAAUUGUAUUUUAUUACUAGUUUUAUUGUGUUUAAUUAGGCCUUACUGUUUUUCGGCCAUAUAUGCAUGUAAUUUGAUCAUUUGCAAUUCAUUCAAUAAACAAGAACAUUCCAGUCCAAUUAGAAAUUGUGUCUACAAUUUUCGCCUGAUUAUUUGCAAGCGUCGUCUUGAAAAUAGUCCGAUUAGCUCAAUUGGUGUUGAGUGCUAAUCUCGUGUUAGGCUAUUGGUGUAGUUUAACAUUGCUUAUUUCCUUGCUGUUUUCACUAAAACCCAACAAACAAACACCUAAAACACUUAAUAGAAUUCGACUAAUAAGGGUGGUACCUAGUACCUUCGUUAUUGGUUGUUUGCUUCCGUUACCACACCCUGAUUCGUAUCA